UGUAAGCGUAUACCAAAGUUGUUGCAGUUAAAACGCUCGUAGUCGGACUUUGGCAGUUCCGGAUGUGUGCACGUCGUGUGCGCACUUCGCGGGGAUUGCUUUUGUGGUCUUGCGUAGGAUGAGGCACUUUUAUUAGUGAACGUCCUCACGCAACCACUUUUUACUGUGAGAAAAUCAGAGUGCUCAAAGCAGGCAUUUGCCGUGAAUGUAUUAGCAUGGAAUAAUAGAAUAGGACUUGGUUCUAUUUUGUUGGUUUGUUGGGACUGAGUAAUGAUUAAGAGGGACAGUUGGGGGCAUUUGUAUUUCGGUGCUAGAGGUGAAAUUCUUAGAUUACCGAAAGACAAACUGCUGCGAAAGCGUCUGCCAAGGGUGUUUUCAUUGA
RNAcentral lists this ribosomal RNA (382 nucleotides) under uncultured eukaryote. RNAcentral describes it as "partial 18S ribosomal RNA". It matches the Rfam family "Eukaryotic small subunit ribosomal RNA", at positions 592 to 976 of the family's 1831-position model. The record is from RNAcentral.